UUCCAGAGAUGGAUUGGUGCCUUCGGGAACUGUGAGACAGGUGCUGCAUGGCUGUCGUCAGCUCGUGUUGUGAAAUGUUGGGUUAAGUCCCGCAACGAGCGCAACCCUUAUCCUUUGUUGCCAGCGGUUCGGCCGGGAACUCAAAGGAGACUGCCAGUGAUAAACUGGAGGAAGGUGGGGAUGACGUCAAGUCAUCAUGGCCCUUACGACCAGGGCUACACACGUGCUACAAUGGCAUAUACAAAGAGAAGCGACCU
Molecule: ribosomal RNA, 257 nt
Filed under: Klebsiella pneumoniae
Lineage: Bacteria; Pseudomonadati; Pseudomonadota; Gammaproteobacteria; Enterobacterales; Enterobacteriaceae
Description: partial 16S ribosomal RNA
Rfam family: Bacterial small subunit ribosomal RNA
Source: RNAcentral